AUACUUACCUGGCGGGGGAGAUACCAUGAUCAUAAAGGUGGUUUUCCCAGGGCGAGGCUUAUCCAUUGCACUCCGGAUGUGCUGACCCCUGCAAUUUCCCCAAAUGUGGGAAACUCGACUGCAUAAUUUGUGGUAGUGGGGGACUGCGUUCGCGCUCUCCCCUG
This 164-nucleotide small nuclear RNA is filed under the name Tupaia belangeri (northern tree shrew). Its description in RNAcentral is "U1 spliceosomal RNA (ENSTBEG00000019087.1)". It matches the Rfam family "U1 spliceosomal RNA". Rfam says of the family: U1 is a small nuclear RNA (snRNA) component of the spliceosome (involved in pre-mRNA splicing). Its 5' end forms complementary base pairs with the 5' splice junction, thus defining the 5' donor site of an intron. The record is from RNAcentral. Lineage: Eukaryota; Metazoa; Chordata; Mammalia; Scandentia; Tupaiidae.